Molecule: ribosomal RNA, 253 nt
Filed under: uncultured bacterium
Lineage: Bacteria
Description: partial 16S ribosomal RNA
Rfam family: Bacterial small subunit ribosomal RNA
Source: RNAcentral
UACGAAGGGGGCUAGCGUUGUUCGGAUUUACUGGGCGUAAAGCGUACGUAGGCGGAUCGAUCAGUCAGGGGUGAAAUCCCAGAGCUCAACUCUGGAACUGCCUUUGAUACUGUCGAUCUGGAGUAUGGAAGAGGUGAGUGGAAUUCCGAGUGUAGAGGUGAAAUUCGUAGAUAUUCGGAGGAACACCAGUGGCGAAGGCGGCUCACUGGUCCAUUACUGACGCUGAGGUGCGAAAGCGUGGGGAGCAAACAGG